This is a long non-coding RNA of Centruroides sculpturatus (bark scorpion), 2632 nucleotides long. RefSeq lists it as uncharacterized. The transcript is spliced from 2 exons. The record is from RefSeq and is a predicted model, not a curated record. Lineage: Eukaryota; Metazoa; Arthropoda; Arachnida; Scorpiones; Buthidae.
AUUAACACUAAUAGUAUAAUGUAAUAGUUUAUAAUAGUAUAAUAUAAUAGUUAAUAUAUUUAAUAUAUUAUUUAAAUAUUUUUAUUACACAUUAAAUUUUAACAGCAAAGUUACAGUCUAUAAAUGCCACCCUAUAACAAAUACAAAUAACCAAUUAAAAAUACACUAAAACAAUAAGAACAAAUUGCAAACAAAGGCUUAUUGUAAUGUUUAUUUAAAAAAAAUAGAAAAUAUGUGGUAAUGCAGAAUAAUCAGGCCUGGGAGAAAGAGUGUAAAGAUGAUAUAAAAUAUAUUUUAAACUUGAUAUAUAACUGAACAGUUUCAAACAGUAAAGUAAAUGUUUUAUUUUUCAUCAAUUUACAAUAAGAUUCUAUGAACAGAGAGGAAAAUAUAAUCUUAAAAAGAUAUCAUGCUAUAUCAAAACAAUAAUUUUUUUUCCAGUAAUAAUUUGUAUAUCUAUCCCUUCAUAAAUUGAAUUAUCUAAGAACAAUUGAACAACAUCUUAAAUUAGACUGAUCAUAAGUCUGUUUUGAGGAGAUGACUAAUGUUUUUUUGGCUUUAUUCCAUCUAUCCUGCCAUUUUUCCAUUUGUCAUAUUUAAUUUUUAAAACACUUCUGCAAUGAUAAGUCAUAAAUUUGAAUGGAUGCUUAAAUGGAGAUGAGAAAGAUGUUUAAAUGGCAAGGAAUACAAAAUAGUUUCAGUGAAUUUAAAUAUAUAUUACAUGGAAAAAAGAUGAAAUUCAAUUAUUUAAUUAAUGAGUGCUAAUAAAGGUAAUAAUAACCAAACACUUGAAGAAAUAGAAUGAAGAAAAAAUUGAUGUAGCUGACAGAUGGAAUAAAAUAAGUAAUGAAAUACAUGAAAAAGAUAUUGAAUUUCAAGAUUUUAAUAAUUUUAUAGAAUUAGUCUUUUGUUUUCUAGGAAUUACUUCUGUAGAAAGAAUAUUUUCACUUGUUAAUUUUUUGUGGUCAAAGGAGAAAUUGAGAUUAAAUAUUGAAUCUGUGAAAGCAGUGUUAAUUAUAAAGCAAAAUUGCAACUUACAAUGACCAUAACUUAUUAAACAAAAUAAGUUUAUCUGAAAAUAAUACUUUACCCUGGAAAAUAUGUUACGUCAACAUAACUAUUAAAUUUGAUAUCCAUAUUGCAAUAAAAAUAACAUUUUUUUUAAUUAAAUUUUUGAAAAUUAUAUAAAUUUUUCUAAAAGAUUUUUUUCUUUCUUUUAUGUCACCAAAUCAAUAUCACAAAUAAUGUAUUAACAAAUUGUUAAUAAUGUUCAGCUAUAUUUCUUGAUGGAAUUUUAAUAAGAGAUCUUGCAUAUAUCAGCUGCAGCUCCCUGUCUUGUUUUAACAUGGCAAAAUUAUGGUCAUCCUAUCACAUACAUUAUAUAUAUUAUAUUAGUGUUUUUACAGCUUGGCUAAUUAAUAAUGAACCAAGUAUGAUGGUUUAUGAUGGUCUGUAUGAAAAAUGCAUUACUUUUAUUGAAUUAUUUAUCUAUUUUCUAUAGCUGUUGUUUUCUUCUGUAGGAAAUUAAAUUGUAACAAUGACUUCUAAGAUUAUGCAGUAACUUGAAAUAAGAGAGCUAUGAUCUGUUUUUUAGAUUAUUUAGAAAGAGGUAGUAGUGCAACUAACAGACAAUGUUGUCACUACUAUGUUGUAUGCAACAGUAAAAUUAGACAGAAGUGAAAAUGACACAUGACCACAUUAAUCAAUCAAUGAUAAAAUACUGAAAAAGUUCAGAAAUCAUAAUAGAGAGAGCUGCCAGAUCAUAUAGUAGAAUACUUGCAGAAUAUAAAAAUUGUGGAAUUCAUUAUUUACCAGAAAUUAAAAAUACUGUCAAUAUAAGGUAUUCCAAUCUCUGACAGAAAAGCAAAUAUGCAUUUCAGUAUUAUUAUUUUGAACUUGUCUUUAAAAGCUUUUGGAUGACUGAGACAGGUUUAUGAUUAAUUUAUACACAAUUUACACAAUUAAAAAUCCUAAAUGAGAUUUCAGUUUACUAUUUUGAUCCAGAUAUUUAUCAAUAAUCAAAGCAGCAAAAGCAUGUCAGUCUGCAGCCUAGGUAUAAGGAGUUCAAAGUCCUAUGCCUAUUUUGAUAAGAUUAUGGCAAUAAUUUUCUUACAUGUUAAAGCUGAAGUUAUGACAGAUUUAUUUGCUAUAGUUCCAUCAAAACUUGAAAAUACUGAAUCAACUUAUACGAAAUAAUUAGAAUUGAAAUUAGAAAAUAACACUUUUUUUUUAGGAAAAACAGUUUUUUUGAAAAGGUGAUUUUCAGUGCUAUUUGAUUAUGACAAUACAUAGCUAUACACUUCAAGUUCAUUGCACUUGAUACUAAAAAUGUUUAUUCUUUCAAGAAAUUAAAGAAUCUUUGCAAUAGCAAUGUUGUCAUUGAAAUAGUUUAAUGGUGUAUUAUACAAGAUUUUUUUCUGAUAUCAGAAAGUUGGAGUUCAGAUGGACUGAGUCCAUCUUUUUGGAAGAGAAAUAUUUAGCAAAGUCAGAAUAUUUUGAAUUUCAAUAAUUUGGAGAUCCUGUCAAAGAAACUUGUUAAUAAUUAGUGAAACUUGGGCUGUUAGUAAGAAAAAUUUUGUUAAAGAUGCAGUAUGCAGAUAAAAAAUAUGUAUAUGAUAAUUCCCAUAUGGUA